UACGUAGGGGGCAAGCGUUGUCCGGAUUUAUUGGGCGUAAAGCGCGUGUAGGCGGCCACACAGGUCCGCUGUGAAAACUCGAGGCUCAACCUCGAGCUGUCGGUGGAAACCGUGUGGCUAGAGUCCGGAAGAGGAGACUGGGAUUCCCGGUGUAGCGGUGGAAUGCGCAGAUAUCGGGAGGAACACCCGUGGCGAAGGCGGGUCUCUGGGACGGUACUGACGCUGAGACGCGAAAGCGUGGGGAGCGAACAGG
This 253-nucleotide ribosomal RNA is filed under the name uncultured bacterium. Its description in RNAcentral is "partial 16S ribosomal RNA". It matches the Rfam family "Bacterial small subunit ribosomal RNA", at positions 524 to 776 of the family's 1533-position model. The record is from RNAcentral.